AUUAAUGAAUUUUGAAAGGGGUUGUAGCUGGCCGUCUCUUUGGGGCGGCAUGUGCACGCCCUGAUCACUAUCCAUCUCACACACCUGUGCACACACUGUAGGUUGGCUUGUGAUCGGAGYUACGGUCUUCAUUGACUUUGCUCUGGUUGGAGGCCCUCCUAUGUAUYAUCACAAACUACUUCAGUUUAAAGAAUGUACUCUUGCGUCUAACGCAUUUAAAUACAACUUUCAGCAACGGAUCUCUUGGCUCUCGCAUCGAUGAAGAACGCAGCGAAAUGCGAUAAGUAAUGUGAAUUGCAGAAUUCAGUGAAUCAUCGAAUCUUUGAACGCACCUUGCGCUCCUUGGUAUUCCGAGGAGCAUGCCUGUUUGAGUGUCAUGGAAYUCUCAACUCUAUUUGCUUUUGUGAAUAGAGCUUGGAUUUGGAGGUUUAUUGCUGGUACUUGUGAUCGGCUCCUCUUGAAUGCAUUAGCUCGAACCUUUGCGGAUCAGCUAUCGGUGUGAUAAUUGUCUACGCCGUUGCAGUGAAGCAUAUCAAUGGGCUCGGCUUCCAAUCGUCCUUUACUGGACAAUGACUUUGACCUUUGACCUCAAAUCAGGUAGGA
RNAcentral lists this ribosomal RNA (603 nucleotides) under Pilatoporus ibericus. RNAcentral describes it as "eukaryotic LSU rRNA". Lineage: Eukaryota; Fungi; Basidiomycota; Agaricomycetes; Polyporales; Fomitopsidaceae. The record is from RNAcentral.